This 254-nucleotide ribosomal RNA is filed under the name uncultured bacterium. RNAcentral's name for it is "partial 16S ribosomal RNA". It matches the Rfam family "Bacterial small subunit ribosomal RNA", at positions 524 to 776 of the family's 1533-position model. The record is from RNAcentral.
CACGUAGGGUGCGAGCGUUGCCCGGAAUUAUUGGGCGUAAAGAGCUCGUAGGCGGUGUGUCGCGUCGGCCGUGAAAACCUGCAGCUUAACUGUGGGCUUGCGGUCGAUACGGGCAUCACUGGAGUUCGGCAGGGGAGACUGGAAUUCCUGGUGUAGCGGUGAAAUGCGCAGAUAUCAGGAGGAACACCGGUGGCGAAGGCGGGUCUCUGGGCCGAUACUGACACUCAACUACGAAAGCGUGGGGAGCAAACAGG